Molecule: ribosomal RNA, 270 nt
Filed under: uncultured bacterium
Lineage: Bacteria
Description: partial 16S ribosomal RNA
Rfam family: Bacterial small subunit ribosomal RNA
Source: RNAcentral
CCGGCGACCGGCGCACGGGUGAGUAACACGUAUGCGACCUGCCCCCCGCAGGGGGAUAACCGGGAGAAAUCCCGACUAAUACCGCGUAACGCCGCGGACCUGCAUGGGUCUGCGGCCAAAGGAAGCGAUUCCGGCGGGGGAUGGGCAUGCGGCGCAUUAGCUAGUCGGCGGGGUAACGGCCCACCGAGGCGACGAUGCGUAGGGGUUCUGAGAGGAAGGUCCCCCACACUGGUACUGAGGCACGGACCAGACUCCUACGGAAGGCAGCAG